RNAcentral lists this ribosomal RNA (442 nucleotides) under uncultured bacterium. Its description in RNAcentral is "partial 16S ribosomal RNA". It matches the Rfam family "Bacterial small subunit ribosomal RNA", at positions 338 to 795 of the family's 1533-position model. The record is from RNAcentral.
CCUACGGGAGGCAGCAGUAGGGAAUCUUUCACAAUGGGCGAAAGCCUGAUGGAGCAACGCCGCGUGCAGGAUGAAGGCCUUCGGGUUGUAAACUGCUUUUAUAAGCGAGAAAUAUGAUGGUAACUUAUGAAUAAGGAUCGGCUAACUACGUGCCAGCAGCCGCGGUCAUACGUAGGAUCCGAGCAUUAUCCGGAGUGACUGGGUGUAAAGAGUUGCGUAGGUGGCAUAAUAAGUAGCUAGUGAAAUCUGGUGGCUCAACCAUUCAGACUAUUAGCUAAACUGUUAAGCUCGAGAGCGUUAGAGGUAACUGGAAUGUCUGGUGUAGGAGUGAAAUCCGUAGAUAUUAGAAAGAACACCGAUAGCGUAGGCAGGUUACUGGGACGGUUCUGACGCUGAGGCACGAAAGCGUAGGGAGCAAACAGGAUUAGAUACCCUAGUAGUC